CUGCCCCCUGUCCAGCAGGGACAUAUGGAGCCAAGGAGGGCCUUCAGAGGCAAAAAGACUGCUCCCCCUGUCCUGCAGGCUUUUACUGUCUGGAGGGCACAGCUCAGCGUCCCGGGUCACAGUUCAUUUGCCCACGGGGUUAUUACUGCGAGGAGCGAACGGCAGCGCCCCACGGCAGCCCCUGUCCGGCCGGGACCUUCGGAGGCCACCUGGGUCAGACCAGCCUUGCAGCCUGCAAGAGGUGUGCGGAGGGCCGGUUCUGUCCCGAAGGAUCAGCUGAGUCUGGGGUCGCCUGUGCCAGGGGAAAGUUCUGUCCGGCUGGCACUGCCAAGGAAGUGAACUGUCCAAAGGGCACCUUCACUCUCCAUCAAGGGGCUGCAAGUGUGGAAGAGUGUGUGAAGUGCCCUGCAGGAUUUUACUGCCCCGAGGGCACCAGUGACCCCGUGCCCUGCCAGCCAGGUUGGUUUAACCCUUUGGAGGGCCAGGACGAAGCCCUCGACUGCAGAGCUUGUUACCCCGGCAAGGCCUGCACCCAGGCUGCCCUGCGCCUGCCAGAUGUGGACUGCAUGCAGGGGUGAGUGCGUCAGCUCGCAGGAACAGCUGGGCUUCGCAGUUCAGGAACUGGGUGAGGCAC
Molecule: long non-coding RNA, 634 nt
Filed under: Lepisosteus oculatus (spotted gar)
Lineage: Eukaryota; Metazoa; Chordata; Actinopteri; Semionotiformes; Lepisosteidae
Description: lncRNA (ENSLOCG00000021783.1)
Source: RNAcentral